Molecule: microRNA precursor, 77 nt
Filed under: Canis lupus familiaris (dog)
Lineage: Eukaryota; Metazoa; Chordata; Mammalia; Carnivora; Canidae
Description: Cfa-Let-7-P2c2_pre stem-loop
Rfam family: let-7 microRNA precursor family
About the family: This family represents the microRNAs (miRNA) let-7 and mir-98. let-7 was identified from a study of developmental timing in C. elegans, and was later shown to be part of a much larger class of non-coding RNAs termed miRNAs. The extents of the hairpin precursors are not generally known and are estimated based on hairpin prediction.
Source: RNAcentral
UGAGGUAGUAGUUUGUGCUGUUGGUCGGGCUGUGACAUUGCCCGCUGUGGAGAUAACUGCGCAAGCUACUGCCUUGC